RNAcentral lists this small RNA (27 nucleotides) under Bombyx mori (domestic silkworm). Its description in RNAcentral is "ovarian small RNA-12536". Lineage: Eukaryota; Metazoa; Arthropoda; Insecta; Lepidoptera; Bombycidae. The record is from RNAcentral.
AUCUCUCCGAUUGUGCGUGCUCCGAGG